This 497-nucleotide ribosomal RNA is filed under the name uncultured bacterium. Its description in RNAcentral is "partial 16S ribosomal RNA". It matches the Rfam family "Bacterial small subunit ribosomal RNA", at positions 28 to 507 of the family's 1533-position model. The record is from RNAcentral.
GAUGAACGCUGGCGGCGUGCCUAAUACAUGCAAGUCGAGCGAACAGACGAGGAGCUUGCUCCUCUGACGUUAGCGGCGGACGGGUGAGUAACACGUGGAUAACCUACCUAUAAGACUGGGAUAACUUCGGGAAACCGGAGCUAAUACCGGAUAAUAUAUUGAACCGCAUGGUUCAAUAGUGAAAGACGGUUUUGCUGUCACUUAUAGAUGGAUCCGCGCCGCAUUAGCUAGUUGGUAAGGUAACGGCUUACCAAGGCAACGAUGCGUAGCCGACCUGAGAGGGUGAUCGGCCACACUGGAACUGAGACACGGUCCAGACUCCUACGGGAGGCAGCAGUAGGGAAUCUUCCGCAAUGGGCGAAAGCUUGACGGAGCAACGCCGCGUGAGUGAUGAAGGUCUUCGGAUCGUAAAACUCUGUUAUUAGCGAAGAACAAAUGUGUAAGUAACUAUGCACGUCUUGACGGUACCUAAUCAGAAAGCCACGGCUAACUACGUG